UACAGAGGGUGCAAGCGUUAAUCGGAAUUACUGGGCGUAAAGCGCGCGUAGGCGGCCUAUUGAGUCGGAUGUGAAAGCCCCGGGCUUAACCUGGGAAUGGCAUUCGAUACUGGUAGGCUAGAGUUUGGUAGAGGGUAGUGGAAUUCCCAGUGUAGCGGUGAAAUGCGUAGAUAUUGGGAGGAACAUCAGUGGCGAAGGCGGCUACCUGGAUCAAAACUGACGCUGAGGUGCGAAAGCGUGGGGAGCAAACAGG
Molecule: ribosomal RNA, 253 nt
Filed under: uncultured bacterium
Lineage: Bacteria
Description: partial 16S ribosomal RNA
Rfam family: Bacterial small subunit ribosomal RNA
Source: RNAcentral